GCAACAUGGGACCUAGUUUUAAUUUAAUUCUCUCUCUCUCUCUCUCUCUCUCUGUGUGUGUGUGUGUGUGAGAGAGAGAGAGAGAGAGAGAGAGAGAGAGACUCUGUUUAAAGUUGUUUGUUCUCCG
Non-coding RNA from Podarcis lilfordi (Lilford's wall lizard), 127 nucleotides. Lineage: Eukaryota; Metazoa; Chordata; Lepidosauria; Squamata; Lacertidae. The record is from the annotation of a GenBank genome assembly.